UACGUAGGGGGCGAGCGUUACCCGGAUUUACUGGGCGUAAAGCGCGUGUAGGCGGCUGGCCAAGCGUGGUGUGAAAUCUUCGGGCUUAACCCGAAAACUGCAUUGCGAACUGGUCUGGCUAGAGUGUGUGAGAGGGUAGUGGAAUUCCCGGUGUAGCGGUGAAAUGCGUAGAUAUCGGGAGGAAGACCAGUGGCGAAGGCGGGUCUCUGGACAGUUCCUGACACUGAGACACGAAGGCCAGGGGAGCAAACGGG
Molecule: ribosomal RNA, 254 nt
Filed under: uncultured bacterium
Lineage: Bacteria
Description: partial 16S ribosomal RNA
Rfam family: Bacterial small subunit ribosomal RNA
Source: RNAcentral